This 464-nucleotide ribosomal RNA is filed under the name uncultured bacterium. Its description in RNAcentral is "bacterial SSU rRNA". It matches the Rfam family "Bacterial small subunit ribosomal RNA", at positions 107 to 567 of the family's 1533-position model. The record is from RNAcentral.
UGAGUAAUAUAUCGGAACGUGCCCUAGAGUGGGGGAUAACGUAGCGAAAGUUACGCUAAUACCGCAUACGAUCUACGGAUGAAAGUGGGGGAUCGCAAGACCUCAUGCUCGUGGAGCGGCCGAUAUCUGAUUAGCUAGUUGGUAGGGUAAAAGCCUACCAAGGCAUCGAUCAGUAGCUGGUCUGAGAGGACGACCAGCCACACUGGGACUGAGACACGGCCCAGACUCCUACGGGAGGCAGCAGUGGGGAAUUUUGGACAAUGGGCGCAAGCCUGAUCCAGCAAUGCCGCGUGAGUGAAGAAGGCCUUCGGGUUGUAAAGCUCUUUUGUCAGGGAAGAAACGGUGUUCUCUAAUACAGGGCACUAAUGACGGUACCUGAAGAAUAAGCACCGGCUAACUACGUGCCUGCAGCCGCGGUAAUACGUCGGGUGCAAGCGUUAAUCGGAAUUACUGGGCGUAAAGCG